AUAGAGAGCAAAGGAAGGGGUGCUUCCAAAGGUUGUGUGCACUAGGGAGACAGAGAGAAAAGAAAGGAGAGGAGGUUGGGGGCGGAGAAGGGACGACGAGGCGGCGGCGGAGAAAGAGGCGUUUAUGUGACGCACGGCGGCGGACACGGGCACGGGAGAAGUAGAGGGCAGGGCUCGAGGUGGAGGAGGUCGGAGUAUAGGGGACUAAAAGAGCUAAACCUAGAGCCCUCGUGUGCCCUCCCUCAGGGGCUCGCCACCGUCGCAGUCUAGGGAGGCAGAGCGCCCCGUCCCGGAGGGCAGGCACGGUGCUACUGCGGCCGUACCUCCGAGCCCGUGCCCGUCGGUGGCGCCACAGCCCACGCGGCCGCUCCAGAGACCCCUGGCGCGUCAUUCCCUGACCGCGUCGAAGACUAGCAACCAAGGCCGCUACGGUUCGGCUUCUAGACUCAGCGGCUCGGCGUUCAUCGUCGACCUGUAGGUAGGCGGCCGGGGCUGUCGCUCGAGGCCGGCAGGUGGCGGGGCUCGAGGUAGGCAGACGACGGGGGAUGGGGUAGGCGGACGGGGCAUCAGCGUCGGCACCUAUCGGGGUAGUCGGCGUUGGAAGUCGUCGGUGCGUGUUUGGAAGACUUCUGUUUAAGAUCCCUACCUCCCCGACGGCUUUAGGUGGAGCUCCGUCUCCCCAUCCGUCUUCCUACCGCUCGCAAGGUGAGCUGCCGCUCGGUACCCACUACCGCUAGCGUUGCGUUUCAAAAGGCUAGACGGACAGAAGUUCCCGCACCUCGCUGCCUCCAACAGAGGGAGGAAGGUGUGCCAGCGUUGUAGCCCUCUCCUAAGUCGGGGGCACACCAAGACGUGGUUCAAAGACAGUUCUUACCUUAGAUGCUCAAGACCUUGACCAAACUACUAUCCUGUACGACCUUCGUAAACCACCAUACAAUGACUUUUUACACGGGCUUUAUAAACUAGCCAGAUGAUUCAACCAUUUGCGAGACUUGUAGGUUCACAACCACCUCUGGCAAACGCACAAUGACGAGGUUAAUAGAGUCGUUUACGAAGGGCCCGAUGAAUGGAGAACUGUUUCCAACAUAAAGUGUCUUCGUACAUAAGAGUCAAAGAGUGUCAUCGGUCUCACAUAGCGAAAAAAUAGACCAUUAAGACAAGAGUAAUUACAAUUACAAAGGCAUGCUUCGUUUCCCGUGACCACGACCUACCUACGGUCGUCGAUAAGACCGUUACCAUUUAACGUGAACUAAAUAUCUACAAAAGUAAAAGUAUACGGUGCCAGAUUCACCUUUAUAUUUAUGAAAAGCUACUUCGAUCCCUACGGUAAUUCAUCGAAAUCGAAAUGGAUAGAAACCCACCCUUGUAAUGUGAGAAGUUGUUGCUUUCUCUCCCGCUCUCCACUAGGAAGACGAGAAAUGAACACUUAGAGAUAAAGAAUGAUCGAGCCCCUUGAACGUGGGUUGUUUAAUUACCUACUAGAACGUUUGGAGUAGUUCAUAUAAUCAUCAAUUUGACACUUAAACUUUUGUUUUUUUAACAUGUAAACAAGCACAACUUAAAUCUACACAAGAACCCGUUAUUAACUACCAUCUAUUAUGUACUACCCCCUACCGGAAGUAACGAUGUUAAUGAAAAGGAUAGGGAGGAAUCAAAGAACCUACAUAUAAUCAAAAACAAACGGGGAAAUAAAAAUCCCCUUCAAAAGAAUGACGGUGUCGAACCAACAAGAUUGUACUGUUUUACAACCUAAAUUAUAGAACGAUUUAUGACCUAUGAUCGAGUAAAAUGAAGUCGAGUAUUCCUUUCCAGACAUACGUUUCGCACAGUACCCUGCCAUACGACCUUAUUUGUGUAUAUCGGUCAAGUACAAAUGGGAAAAGAAAUGUGUAUACUAACUCUGAUCGUUUAAGUGUAUAUGUUUAUACAAAGAUCUCGUUCCUACUCUUCGUGAGGUAUUUGUUGGUGUUAACUACCCUACUGCCUUGAAAUCCAAAAGUGGUCUUAGUUCGUAGUCAAGUUACCCUUGACCUUACUACUUUUGUGAACAGCACGGAGUCUCACACCGCGGCUUCUCUUCCUGCUCGUCAGUCACCACAGAAGCAGAAGCGGCUAACACGACACGCAUCUACGCCUUCUGGCCGUUGGCUGCCGUUAUACAAGUACACCGAAGUUCGUAUCCAAUAAGUACCUCUAUACGGUGUUAACGGUGGACUCCGGUAAUACUUAACACCACCCUACCGUGUUUGUUCUUCUCUACCAUAGUCCACUGAAUCACUAUCAAAACGAAACCCUCAUAAUUCUUCUCACUGUGCAUAACACCAAUUUCAGGCGUUUCUAUACAAUCGAAAAUAAAACUUAACUACCAACACGAGACCGUAGGUGGAACAUUGUGAAAUAUCUGGAAGACCAAACGAGACAAACGAUACGAUACGAUAUACGGACUUGUAAAAUUACUACAUAAAGACAAUUCA
RNAcentral lists this ribosomal RNA (2474 nucleotides) under Triticum aestivum (bread wheat). RNAcentral describes it as "partial small subunit ribosomal RNA". The record is from RNAcentral. Lineage: Eukaryota; Viridiplantae; Streptophyta; Magnoliopsida; Poales; Poaceae.